Pteronotus mesoamericanus is the source of this 147-nucleotide small nucleolar RNA. RefSeq annotates it as small nucleolar RNA SNORA79. Lineage: Eukaryota; Metazoa; Chordata; Mammalia; Chiroptera; Mormoopidae. The record is from RefSeq and is a predicted model, not a curated record. The transcript has a single exon.
UGAUGGCUGUUCCUCUGACUGCUUGGAGCCUCAGGUAGUGGGAUUUUAGUCCAUCAUCCAUCUAAACUGACUUGUCCUCACGCCGAGCACUAUGAGACGGGUUGGCUGUCCACUAGCGCCUUCUGAUUUGCAUGAAGUCAAACAAUU